RNAcentral lists this ribosomal RNA (1820 nucleotides) under Paralamyctes halli. RNAcentral describes it as "SSU rRNA". It matches the Rfam family "Eukaryotic small subunit ribosomal RNA". Lineage: Eukaryota; Metazoa; Arthropoda; Chilopoda; Lithobiomorpha; Henicopidae. The record is from RNAcentral.
UCAUAUGCUUGUCUCAAAGAUUAAGCCAUGCAUGUCUAAGUGCACACCGCAUUAAGGUGAAACCGCGAAUGGCUCAUUAAAUCAGUCUUGGUUCCUUAGAUCGUACCAUCCUACUUGGAUAACUGUGGUAAUUCUAGAGCUAAUACAUGCCGACAAGCUCCGACCCUCGUGGGACGAGCGCUUUUAUUAGAACAAGACCAAUACGGAUCGGCAACGGUCCGUCUGUUUUUGGUGACUCUGGAUAACUUGAAGCAGAUCGCACGGUCCUCGAACCGGCGACGCAUCUUUCAAAUGUCUGACUUAUCAACUGUCGAUGGUAGGUUAUAUGCCUACCAUGGUUGUAACGGGUAACGGGGAAUCAGGGUUCGAUUCCGGAGAGGGAGCCUGAGAAACGGCUACCACAUCCAAGGAAGGCAGCAGGCACGCAAAUUACCCACUCCCGGCACGGGGAGGUAGUGACGAAAAAUAACAAUACGAGACUCUUCCGAGGCCUCGUAAUUGGAAUGAGUACACUUUAAAACUUUUAACGAGGAUCAAUUGGAGGGCAAGUCUGGUGCCAGCAGCCGCGGUAAUUCCAGCUCCAAUAGCGUAUAUUAAAGUUGCUGCGGUUAAAAAGCUCGUAGUUGGAUCUCGGUGACGAACCGGCGGUCCGCCUCGUCGCGGUACACUGCCGGCAUCGAAGCCAUUUUACCGGGCGUCCUCGGUGCUCUUUGCUGAGUGUCUUGGGUGACCGGAACGUUUACUUUGAACAAAUUAGAGUGCUUAAAGCAGGCGAGUCCCGCCCGCAUAGCCCAGCAUGGAAUAAUGGAAUAGGACCUCGGUUCUAUUUUGUUGGUUUUCGGAACCCGAGGUAAUGAUUAAUAGGGACUGACGGGGGCAUUCGUAUUGCGGCGCGAGAGGUGAAAUUCUUGGACCGUCGCAAGACGAACUACUGCGAAAGCAUUUGCCAAGAAUGUUUUCAUUAAUCAAGAACGAAAGUUAGAGGUUCGAAGGCGAUCAGAUACCGCCCUAGUUCUAACCAUAAACGAUGCCAACCAGUAAUCCGCCGGAGUUCCUCCGAUGACUCGGCGGGCAGCUUCCGGGAAACCAAAGCGUUCGGGUUCCGGGGGAAGUAUGGUUGCAAAGCUGAAACUUAAAGGAAUUGACGGAAGGGCACCACCAGGAGUGGAGCCUGCGGCUUAAUUUGACUCAACACGGGGAAACUCACCCGGGCCGGACACUGGAAGGAUUGACAGAUUGAGAGCUCUUUCUUGAUUCAGUGGGUGGUGGUGCAUGGCCGUUCUUAGUUGGUGGAGCGAUUUGUCUGGUUAAUUCCGAUAACGAACGAGACUCUAGCCUGCUAAAUAGCUGGCCCAUACGAUCGGUUAGCCUUUACCGUCACAAGCUGUGGGUAUUGGUCUUUCCGGAGUGGGUCACUCGCUUCUUAGAGGGACAAGCGGUGUCUAGCCGCGCGAGAAUGAGCAAUAACAGGUCUGUGAUGCCCUUAGAUGUCCGGGGCCGCACGCGCGCUACAAUGAGAGGUUGAACAGGUCAGUUUCCCUCGUCCGAAAGGACCGGGUAACCCUGUGAGAUCCUUUCUUGGUUGGAAUCGGGGCCUGGAACCAACCCCGUGAACUAGGAAUUCCUAGUAGGCGCGAGUCAUCAACUCGCGCCGAUUACGUCCCUGCCCUUUGUACACACCGCCCGUCGCUACUACCGAUUGAAUGAUUUAGUGAGGUCUUCGGACUGGCGGUUGCUGCGGCCCUCGGGUCGCGGCGGCGUGCCGGGAAGAUGACCGAACUUGACCAUUUAGAGGAAGUAAAAGUCGUAACAAGGUUUCC